GCUGGUUUGAUUGUCAUCAUCAAUUUCUCUCCGAACGUCAUCUUUUUUGAAAGCAGUGGGAUAGUUUCAGAAGGAAUAAGAUAGAAAAAGACCGUGCACCCCUGUGCCUCAGUGGUAUGAAAGGAUUUUAGAGGAUAUUCUAAAUGGAUGAAAUCCAGUUUGGCAUACUAUUUGACAAGUAGAAACCUUAGGGGUUUGGUAGAAGAAAUUUCAAAUUUUAGCUAAUACUACUUUAAUCCUAGUAUGCAGACAAAGCUGACUUAAGUGGGCCAAAAUGAUGAUGAUGGUGGUGAGGGAGCAGAGUAGAAGAUAUCAAUAUUUGCCUAUCCCGCUCGUGAAUUUGGGCACAAAGUUUCUUGGAUUUUAACUGAUAUUAAAUUACGACAGGUAGAGGCAUAUAUUCCACUAAACUG
RNAcentral lists this long non-coding RNA (413 nucleotides) under Elaeis guineensis (African oil palm). Its description in RNAcentral is "long non-coding RNA (EGUI_LNC003584)". The record is from RNAcentral. Lineage: Eukaryota; Viridiplantae; Streptophyta; Magnoliopsida; Arecales; Arecaceae.